Molecule: ribosomal RNA, 482 nt
Filed under: uncultured bacterium
Lineage: Bacteria
Description: partial 16S ribosomal RNA
Rfam family: Bacterial small subunit ribosomal RNA
Source: RNAcentral
AUUGAACGCUGGCGGCAUGCUUUACACAUGCAAGUCGAACGGUAACAGGCCGCAAGGUGCUGACGAGUGGCGCACGGGUGAGUAAUGCAUCGGAACGUGCCCAGUCGUGGGGGAUAACUACUCGAAAGAGUAGCUAAUACCGCAUACGAUCUAUGGUUGAAAGCGGGGGACCGUAAUGCCUCGCGCGAUUGGAGCGGCCGAUGUCAGAUUAGGUAGUUGGUGGGGUAAAGGCUCACCAAGCCAACGAUCUGUAGCUGGUCUGAGAGGACGACCAGCCACACUGGGACUGAGACACGGCCCAGACUCCUACGGGAGGCAGCAGUGGGGAAUUUUGGACAAUGGGCGCAAGCCUGAUCCAGCAAUGCCGCGUGCAGGAAGAAGGCCUUCGGGUUGUAAAAUGCUUUUGUACGGAACGAAACGGCUCUGGUUAAUACCCGGGGCUAAUGACGGUACCGUAAGAAUAAGCACCGGCUAACUACGUG